ACGACCGGCGCACGGGUGAGUAUCGCGUGUGCAAUCUACCUCUAACUGGGGGAUAGCCCGGAGAAAUUCGGAUUAAUACCCCAUAUUGUUAAAAUUUCGCAUGAAAUUUUGACGAAAGCUCCGGCGGUACAGAGAUGAGCAUGCGUGCCAUUAGUUUGUCGGUGAGGUAACGGCUCACCCAUGGCACCGAUGGCUAAGGGGUCUGAGAGGAUGAUCCCCCACACUGGUACUGAGACACGGACCAGACUCCUACGGGAGGCAGCAGUGAGGAAUAUUGGUCAAUGGGCGAAAGCCUGAACCAGGCAUGCCGCGUGCAGGAUGACGGCCCUAUGGGUUGUAAACUGCUUUUCUGCUCCAAGAACCCCACUUACGUGUAAGUCGGUUGACGGUAGAGCAGGAAUAAGCAUCGGCUAACUCCGUGCCAGCAGCCGCGGUAAUACGGAGGAUGCAAGCGUUAUCCGGAUUCAUCGGGUUUAACGGGUGCGCAGGCGGAUUAAUAAGUCAGUAGUGAAAUCCUGCAGCUUAACUGUAGAAUUGCUAUUGAUACUGUCAAUCUUGAGUACAGUUGAGGUAGGCGGAAUGUCUGAUGUAGCGGUGAACUGCUUAGAUUUCAUACAGAACACCAAUUGCGAAGGCAGCUUACUAAACUGUAACUGACGCUGAGGCACGAAAGCGUGGGGAGCGAACAGGAUUCGAUACCCUGGUAGUCCACGCUGUAAACGAUGAUCACUCGCUGUUGGCAAUACAUCGUCAGUGGCUGAGCAAAAGCAUUAAGUGAUCCAGCUGGGGAAGUACGUCGGCAACGAUGUUACUCAAAGGAAUUGACGGGGGCCCGCACAAGCGGUGGAACAUGUGGUUUAAUUCGAUGAUACGCGAGGAACCUUACCUGGGCUUAAAUGCAGAACGACGGUUCCCGAAAGGGAUCCUUCUUCGGACGGACUGCAAGGUGCUGCAUGGUUGUCGUCAGCUCGUGCCGUGAGGUGUCGGGUUAAGUCCCAUAACGAGCGCAACCCCUAUUGUUAGUUGCCAGCGAGUAAUGUCGGGGACUCUAACGAAACUGCCGGUGUAAACCGUGAGGAAGGUGGGGAUGACGUCAAAUCAGCACGGCCCUUAUGUCCAGGGCUACACACGUGUUACAAUGGUCGGUACAGAGGGCAGCUACUUGGCGACAAGUUGCAAAUCUCUAAAACCGGCCUUAGUUCGGAUUGAAGUCUGCAACUCGACUUCAUGAAGCUGGAAUCGCUAGUAAUCGCGCAUCAGCCAUGGCGCGGUGAUACGUUCCCGGGCCUUGUACACACCGCCCGUCAAGCCAUGGAAGCUGGGGGUACCUAAAGUCCGUAAC
RNAcentral lists this ribosomal RNA (1342 nucleotides) under uncultured organism. Its description in RNAcentral is "16S ribosomal RNA". It matches the Rfam family "Bacterial small subunit ribosomal RNA", at positions 91 to 1434 of the family's 1533-position model. The record is from RNAcentral.